UUUAUAUUGCCUAUAUGGCAGAUGGGUAUGUAAUGACUUUCCAAUGAAUGUUGUGGAUGAAUUUUGCUACCUCUGCCAAGUGUGUAAUGACCACUCUUUAUAAAUGCCAUUUGCAAUAAUCUCAAGUCACAACUUCCUUCUAGAAGGGCCAAAAAAAGACUACUGCUUCCAUUUCUGCAUCCAACUUGCUACACUGUUGUCAUUUUGUUGUAGAGACCACUAUUGCUAUCAUUUGUGUCUUUGUCCUGAUGCUUUUAUCAUUGGGGUUGCUUUUGGCACUGCUGCAGCAGUUUCAUUGUUAUCAUGGUUGUUGCCUGUUACACUUACAUAUGUCACUGUCUUCUGGUCAUCAGCAGUUUUCUCCUACAAUGAAAUUGCGCUUUCUUCGUUAGAAAGCACAGUUUAAGCUGUCUGGUAAAAAUGCUUUGACUUUGAAUUCAGCAGAAACUCGAGUCUAGAGACUCCAUUAAAGAUCCUAGUGCAAUUAUAGCAGUGCCACAGUUUUUCAGUACUUUUGGAGAGUGUUCUGCAAUUAACUUUGCUGCCAUUUGCUUUCGUCACAUCAAGUGGCAUUGGAAUACGAGUCUAAUUCUUUUUAGUAUUCAUUGAACUAUUGCAUCCUACCUAUUUUAUUGAAAAAAUUUAUAAGUUUUCCACCAUAUCUUAUUCGAGGCAUUAGUCUGGGGAUAUAUUCAGUUUUUGUUUAAAACUAUAUUUCAAGCAUGUUUAGAUCGCAUUUGUUGAUUUGCACUUUACCCAUUUCAGUAGAUCAUCUUCAAUUCCCACAAGCAUGUGUUUAGCCAUUUUGCUUACCAGUAUUAUACUAUCGGUGUUUAUUGUCUGGUGGCAUGUCACAGCAGAAUGCAGCAUCAUUUGAUAAAAAUCAGACUAGCCCUGCUCUCAAACAGAGCCAGCGACGCGAGGCCAGUGGCAGGAUAAUCAGAAGCAUACUUUUAAACAAGGACUCACGCCAAAACCAAUCUUCUGGGGUCCAGUCUGAGCAGCAAAAUCAAACCUCAAAUUUUGAAAAGGACAAGCGCCCUCCUCGUCCUCAGCAUGUGCAGCUGAUUUUGAAGGAUGCAAAUGGUGAUUCAGAUGACAAGGUUGUGGGUAAUGACUUGCAUAGUUUUUCUGGUGAGAAGCAGGAAAAGCGCACAAGAAGCAAGGAUAGACCUGAUCGUGGUAUAUGGGCUCCUCUUCGUCGAUCGGAUGGAUCAUAUGCAAGUGAUGAAUCCAUAUUGUCAUCUGCAUCUCAAUCUGCGCAAUCAGGUGUAGAUUCUUCUCAAGGAAAUCUUGGAGAUACAAAAGUUGAUCCAUUAAAUUCAAGGAGUGGAGAAGUUAAAACCCUUGGAAGUGGACGUGGUGGUCACUCUUCUUUAGAUAAUGGAUCACAUAAACAUUUUGGUCGGAGGGGACCUCAUACAGGAAGAGAUGUGGAUGGCUCAUCUGGUGAAGGGAAGCUUUCAAAGAGAGGUGUUGCUUCUGGUUAUGGUUCCCAUGAGAAGCAAAUCUGGGUUCAAAAACCAAAUUCUGGUUCUUAGAGUUUUUGAAAAGUCAUUAUUUUGCAUUGGAAUGCAUAGUCCCAUGAAAUUUUGGAGCAUGCACUUGCUGUACGCGGUUGGCUGUCUCUUUUUACUGAACAGAUGGUCAGGUGUGAAGAAGUUUCAGCAGAGAAGGGUUUUCUUCGGGAAACCUAGAAGGGAAAGAUAAUGUCAAUGAUGCCGGAUAAUUGUGUAAUUAUAUACUUGGUGGAUUGCAGAAAAUCCCGAUCUUUAGUCAAAGACAGCUCAAAAUAGGAGGAAGAAAGGAAGGAAAAAGAUUAAAAAAAAAAAAGGAAAAAGAUAUCUUCAUUAUAAAUCCUAUAUAGGACCACAGAUUUCUCCAGGGUGACCCUUUGUGGGGUUCUACUCACCAGAGGAAGCCAUUGAUGUCCUCAUUGUUGCCUUUGACCGACUGCAAAUCGGGAUAUUCUAGUUCUAUAGGUUGAUCCCUCACUCUGAUUGAAACUGUAUAUAAGUAUCGAAAGCAAGAGCCUUACUUGAUUUCCCAUGUUUCUUAAUAUGCGUCUUGUUAAGCAGUCUAGCAUUACUCGAUUUGGUGAGAAUUUGUUUAUAGCCCCAUGUAUUUUGCAGGGCUAUCUAUAAUUGGGUUCUUGUCAAUUGUCAAAGAGAAGAAAAGGUGGGAAGAUCUUUGUUUAGCUGUGCUGAGAGUAGUAGUGAUGGUAGAAGUUCGAGUAUGUGAAUGGACUGAUGGUUAAAUGGAGUGUUUUUAAAAGAGUGGAUGAAUGUUAUAAGACGGCCAGGAACUAGUUGGGUCUUUGUUAGUGGCUGUGAAACUUUUGUUAAUGGAAAGUUGCUUUGGUGCGAUGUGAUUGCAAUUUCUAUUUAUAUUCCAGUUAUGUUAAUUUUCUUUUCUCUUCAAAUCUAUUUUCAGGAAUGCUAUGCUCACGUCACUAGCUCUCAAUGUUGUCCCAAACCUGUGUUUUAUCCUGAGGCCAGGCUCUGGGCUGAAAAGCGUUUGACCUAAUUUAAUUUAUAAGUUUUAGUUAUAAUAAUAUUAAAAUAAUAAAAUAAUUUUUUUAAAUAAUUUUUUUUAAUAAUAUUUAAAAUAAUAUUUUUAUUUAAAAAAAUAAUUUUAAAUU
RNAcentral lists this unclassified non-coding RNA (2641 nucleotides) under Hevea brasiliensis (rubber tree). Lineage: Eukaryota; Viridiplantae; Streptophyta; Magnoliopsida; Malpighiales; Euphorbiaceae. The record is from RNAcentral.